RNAcentral lists this ribosomal RNA (467 nucleotides) under uncultured bacterium. RNAcentral describes it as "partial 16S ribosomal RNA". It matches the Rfam family "Bacterial small subunit ribosomal RNA", at positions 29 to 507 of the family's 1533-position model. The record is from RNAcentral.
ACGCACGCUGGCGGCGUGCUUAACACAUGCCAGUCGAACGGAAAGGCCCUGCUUUUGUAGGGUGCUCGAGUGGCGAACGGGUGAGUAACACGUGAGUAACCUGCCCUUGACUUUGGGAUAACUUCAGGAAACUGGGGCUAAUACCGGAUAGGAGCUCCUGCUGCAUGGUGGGGGUUGGAAAGUUUCGGCGGUUGGGGAUGGACUCGCGGCUUAUCAGCUUGUUGGUGGGGUAGUGGCUUACCAAGGCUUUGACGGGUAGCCGGCCUGAGAGGGUGACCGGCCACAUUGGGACUGAGAUACGGCCCAGACUCCUACGGGAGGCAGCAGUGGGGAAUAUUGCACAAUGGGCGGAAGCCUGAUGCAGCAACGCCGCGUGCGGGAUGACGGCCUUCGGGUUGUAAACCGCUUUCGCCUGUGACGAAGCGUGAGUGACGGUAAUGGGUAAAGAAGCACCGGCUAACUACGUG